CUAAGAAUAUUCCGCAAUGGACGGAAGUCUGACGGAGCGACGCCGCGUGGAUGAAGAAGGCCGAAAGGUUGUAAAGUUCUUUUGCUGGGGAAGAAUAACCGCAGGAGGGAAUGCCUGCGGGAUGACAAGAACCGGCGAAUAAGCCCCGGCCAACUACGUGCCAGCAGCCGCGGUAACACGUAGGGGGCGAGCGUUGUUCGGAAUUACUGGGCGUAAAGGGCAUGUAGGCGGCUUGGAAAGCCUGGCGUGAAAGUCUGCAGCUUAACUGCAGGGGUGCGCUGGGAACUGCUGAGCUUGAGUGACGGAGAGGGAGCUGGAAUUCCUGGUGUAGGGGUGAAAUCUGUAGAUAUCAGGAAGAACACCGAUGGCGAAGGCAAGCUCCUGGCCGAUGACUGACGCUGAGGUGCGAAAGUGUGGGGAUCAAACAGGAUUAGAUACCCUGGUAGUCCACACAGUCAACGAUGUGCACUAGGUGCUGGGGCGGUAGCUUCGGUGCCGGAGCGAACGUGGUAAGUGCACCGCCUGGGGAGUAUGCUCGCAAGGGUGAAAACUCAAAGGAAUUGACGGGGGUCAUANCUG
This 579-nucleotide ribosomal RNA is filed under the name uncultured bacterium. RNAcentral's name for it is "partial 16S ribosomal RNA". It matches the Rfam family "Bacterial small subunit ribosomal RNA", at positions 355 to 928 of the family's 1533-position model. The record is from RNAcentral.